This is a long non-coding RNA of Cynoglossus semilaevis (tongue sole), 2684 nucleotides long. RefSeq lists it as uncharacterized. NCBI's taxonomy places the organism in Eukaryota, Metazoa, Chordata, Actinopteri, Pleuronectiformes, Cynoglossidae. The transcript has 2 exons. The record is from RefSeq and is a predicted model, not a curated record.
UUUUUUUUUCCACACGCCACCUUCCACUUGACAAGUCUGGUCUUCAAAGACAUUUGUACUAAAGUUAAGUUUUGUUUUCAGCUGUUUGCACUUUAAUGAAAGUGUCUGCUGAAGCAGAGUGUGCCAAAUUGAGUCUCCACUAAAGUCAAAGGUGGUGUAUUUUAGUUUCUCUAGAACAGACGACCAAGAAAUCAUUUUCUGGUGCCUGGGUUUUGUUAUAGUCCCUGGAGCUUCUUUGGAUUUAAAGUUAAACUUGAACGUUUGGAUUGAAAGUGACAGCUGUGGUGUUGGUUUGCAGAUCUGCUCAGAGAUUUCAAUAGUCUUAGAAAAGAAAGAGAAAAAAAAAGCCAUUUUUAACUGUUUGUUCCGAGUGAAGUUGAACAUGCGGAAAGAAGAGCAUAAUUGUUUUUUUGUUUUUAUUUUUUCUUCUCUGAUUUAUGUUUUUCACAAACAUCGGACUUCCACAGCAGAGGUCACUUUUUCAAACACUUGACACCUCAAGCACAAGUUUUGACUCUGAAGUCACGUCGAGUUCCCCGAAGCACAGUGACGUUUAAACGUCCCGGAAAUCUGUCCCUCCUGAGAGUGCAACAGUUUUAUCGUUAGCGAUGGGUGUCACUUUUAGGCGGACCCCGACACUGCCCUCCUGAAACUGAGCAUAGAAAUGGUACUGGGAACAAUCAGCGUUCAACGCAGGGUCCACAUGCAACAGUUCAAAUGUUUCACCUUGCCUUUGUGGAACUACUCACGCCGUCCUACGAGCUACAUGGAUGCAAAUCUUCUGAGAAGUGUAAAAAACGGAGGAACUGAGACGUUCCCCUCACUGAUUAAAAGCAACUUCCUGCAGAGCAGACAAGAUAACAGCCUCAGGUUUAUGUAUUUAACCCUGUGGUCCAGUGUAGCCUCCUGCCCUGUUCUGGCUCCGUCUUUGCCCAUUUGUUGUUGUGCAGUUUUGCACAUGUCGUAGACCAGGGGGACAAACUCCCACCGGGAUUCAUCUGUCUAAUGGAGUACAGUCUUCACUCAGAUCAAAGUCGUGCCAUAUUAAUGAUGAUGUUGAUAUUUUAAAGGAUGGUACAAAUACUGCCAGCAAUUAAAUGUAAAGAGAACAUAGACUGUAUAAAGAAAUUGACUUUUGGUUCCGUUAGGUGGUCUGGUUCCCAAGCUGUUUUUAUUUUGACAUUUCAACAUCUAUCAAUCAAACGUGAUACUCCCUGGUGUCCCUACUUUUAGAAAAACGAAAUUUCCAAUUUGCUUUUAUUAAAAACGUAUCUUUACUCUCAACCAGGUGGCUAACAGUAUUUUUUUGGUUUUCACUUUUGAAACCAGAAGGCUGCGUCUGUCCCUUAUUAACGGUCUAUGAAGUAAAGCCACGGCAUUGACCUCCUGCUCCUGCUCCUCCUCCUACAGCUAUGUGCCAUCGUCUCCAGUGUCCAGUGCCUUGAUGUUGUUCACUGUUUGGUUCUCUGUUUCUUUUAUACCAAAUACUUUCGGGUGGAAAAAAAUCCUGCUGUAUUAUUCUGAUCGUGUUUAGGAAGCCGUUCACUAAAAAUACCGGAGUACGAGUCGGUGGUGACACAGCAGAGGUUAUUUGUCCAGGUUUUCACUCAUGUUUUUGUCCUGAAAUACAGAGUAAUAGAGAAGAAAAGAAAGCACAAAUAAAAUAGAAAAAACUAAAUGGAAAUCAGGGUUAUUGUAAUUUUAAAAAAAUUCAGGUAUUUUCUAAGAUUUACAGAUGCUGAUUUUUUUUGUGUCGUAAUUGGUGCGGCCCUAUCGGUGGAAAUGGCUUGUAAUUGGAAGGAUGCUAGUUUGAAUCCCGGCUCUGGCAGGACUGUGCCGUAGUUCUUUUUUUUUUUUACUGACAGUUAAUCAAACUUGGUCUCUGCAGCGUAACAACUGGAUUUCAAUUCUGGAAAACCUUGACAAACAAAACCAAACGUGUGUCACAUUGAAAUGACUUAGUUUUUAAAAUAUUUUUUACUCUCCUGUCGUAUGUUUAGUGAACAGCGUCCUUUUGAAUCUCCAGUGUUUGUGGAAUUUGGACACAGGUAUGUUUAUGAAUCUGAUCCUUUGUCCUCUAAUGUCCUUUAAAAAUAACCAAUAUUAAUAAUACGUCUAAGAUCUAAAAGACUUGACGUUGACAGGUGUAAACCAUGUGACCCUGGCUUUUUUUUUUUAGAAUUUUAAAUAUUUUUAUCAGAGAAAAAAAAAUUUCUUAGUGCUUUUGAAAAUUGUCAAGAAUGAAAAAAUAUUAACGAGCCUUAUCCAUGUAUGUGUGUGUGUAUGUGUGUGUGUGUGUAAGAAAAGCUGAGGUACUUGUGUACUUUGUGUAUUUUUUCCACAUUGAACAUUGUUAGGACAUGAAAUGUUUUUCAAUUUUAAUAAACUUGAACUAAACCCACAGUUAAGAAUAUUUCGACCUGGUGUCUCAGAACUGAUGAAGACGCACCAUUUACGACACGUGUUUCUCUUUGAUGAUAUUGACUGUUAUUGAUUAACUAUUAAUUGAUUACUGUUGUGAAUUGAAACGCAUAAACCAUGGGGUUUUUCAAGUCCUGACAAUCGUGACAUUGGCUGAUGAAUUAUGCAUCAGUUAGCGAUGCAGUAGAACGUACACACACAUAAUUCAGCUUCACGUUGUUUUACAGAAAUGUAAGAUAAUAAUAAAAUGGUUUGAAGUCACA